Molecule: ribosomal RNA, 253 nt
Filed under: uncultured bacterium
Lineage: Bacteria
Description: partial 16S ribosomal RNA
Rfam family: Bacterial small subunit ribosomal RNA
Source: RNAcentral
GACAGAGGCCCCGAGCGUUAGGCGGAAUUACUGGGCGUAAAGGGCGCGUAGGCGGUCUUGUAAGUCCCGUGUGAAAUCCCUCGGCUCAACUGAGGAACUGCACGGGAAACUGCUUGGCUUGAGUUCGGGAGAGGGAAGCGGAAUUCCGGGUGUAGCGGUGAAAUGCGUAGAGAUCCGGAGGAACACCAGUGGCGAAGGCGGCCCCCUGGGCCGCGCCUGACGCUGAGACGCGAAAGCGCGGGGAGCGAACGGG